Molecule: long non-coding RNA, 356 nt
Organism: Oncorhynchus tshawytscha (Chinook salmon)
Lineage: Eukaryota; Metazoa; Chordata; Actinopteri; Salmoniformes; Salmonidae
Source: Ensembl
GGGAGUACCGGUACAGAGUCAAUGUGGAGGCUAUAUACAGGGGGUACCGGUACAGAGUCAAUGUGGAGGCUAUAUACAGGGGAUACCGGUACAGAGUCAAUGUGGAGGCUAUAUACAGGGGAGUACCGGUACAGAGUCAAUGUGGAGGCUAUAUACAGGGGGUACCGGUACAGAGUCAAUGUGGAGGCUAUAUACAGGGAGUACCGGUACAGAGUCAAUGUGGAGGCUAUAUACAGGGAGUACCGGUACAGAGUCAAUGUGGAGGCUAUAUACAGGGAGUAAAGGUACAGAGUCAAUGUGGAGGCUAUAUACAGGGAGUACCGGUACAGAGUCAAUGUGGAGGCUAUAUACAGGGG